GUUCGGAAUUAUUGGGCGUAAAGGGCACGUAGGUGGACUAGUAAGUUAAAAGUGAAAUACCAAAGCUCAACUUUGGAGCUGCUUUUAAUACUGCUAGACUAGAGGUCGAGAGAGGAUAGCGGAAUUCCUAGUGUAGAGGUGAAAUUCGUAGAUAUUAGGAGGAACACCGGUGGCGAAGGCGGCUAUCUGGCUCGAUACUGACACUGA
Molecule: ribosomal RNA, 207 nt
Filed under: uncultured Ehrlichia sp.
Lineage: Bacteria; Pseudomonadati; Pseudomonadota; Alphaproteobacteria; Rickettsiales; Anaplasmataceae
Description: partial 16S ribosomal RNA
Rfam family: Bacterial small subunit ribosomal RNA
Source: RNAcentral